This is a long non-coding RNA of Salvia miltiorrhiza (redroot sage), 1034 nucleotides long. RefSeq lists it as uncharacterized. The transcript has 2 exons. The record is from RefSeq and is a predicted model, not a curated record. NCBI's taxonomy places the organism in Eukaryota, Viridiplantae, Streptophyta, Magnoliopsida, Lamiales, Lamiaceae.
AUGUUUUUAUCAUUUAGUUAGCUUAUUUCACAUGAAGGUUUGAGGCCCUUGACUUCAAGAAUCAUCGUAAAUAAGCGACUUUUGGUUUGAACCCUCUAUCACACUUUUUUAUUAGUGGUAUUUUCUGUUGCUCCACUAAUUCUCAUUACUUCGUUCAAUCCGGUUGUUUGGAUCAUGGAAUUAGUGUGCAUCUUUCUAUCUUUUUUUUGGUGGAAAUCUCUUCUUCUUUUGUUGCUGUUUCUAGUCUGCUCUGGUCUGCUUUGAGGGUGCGGGUCUGCUCUGCCGAUCUGCUCUAUUGAUCUGCUCUGGAGCGUGUUUCUCCGCUGCUCUGCUUUAGAGUUUCCCAGCUGAGGCUGGUUUGCUCUGGCUCUGGAGAGCAGACGUUGGCGUCUAUGGUGCUUGCUGCUCUGACAAUGUCUACUCUGACGUUGUCUGUUCUGACUUACCGCUCAGCUCUGGUGUUUGCUGCCCUGGCGUGGUCUGCUCUGGAGUUUCCUGCUCUGUCACUUUUGUGCUCUGGCUCUGCUGCUUUGCCCUGAUGCUCUGCUCUGGCUCUGGCUCUGGUCGGCUGUAAGGAUGCGGGUAUGCUCUGGCGUUUCCAGCUUUGUCGCUGCAGCUCUGCUGCUGGCGGCUCUGGCACUCUUGUGCCCUGCUCGACCGCUCUGCUCUACUACUCUGCUCUGGAGCUUGCUCUUGGCGUGGUCUGCUCUGGAGUCGCAUGCUCUGGCGUUGCCUGCUCUGUCGGCGUCUGCUCUAGCUCCGCACCUCUGGUGUUGGCUGCUCUGGCACUUCUGUGUUCGGGCUCGGCUGCUCUGCUCUGCUGCUCUACUCGGUGUAGCCGUGCCAGCGGGGUGGCUUGCUCUUCCUUUGUUGUUUUGGCUUUGCGUUGUUUGUUUUCUUUUUUGGUUUGGGUUUUGUUGUUUUUUCCACUUUUUGGGACUUUCUUUUUCAGGCCCUCUCCUUGUUUGCGCCUGUGCUCUCAAGGUUUUUUACAAAAUUCUUUUUUCAAUAAAAUUUCCAUUUCAGUAGUAAAA